RNAcentral lists this ribosomal RNA (301 nucleotides) under uncultured bacterium. RNAcentral describes it as "partial 16S ribosomal RNA". It matches the Rfam family "Bacterial small subunit ribosomal RNA", at positions 509 to 807 of the family's 1533-position model. The record is from RNAcentral.
CAGUAGCCACGGUAAUACGAAGGGGGCCAGCGUUGCUCGGAAUCACUGGGCGUAAAGGGUGCGUAGGCGGGUCUUUAAGUCAGGGGUGAAAUCCUGGAGCUCAACUCCAGAACUGCCUUUGAUACUGAAGAUCUUGAGUUCGGGAGAGGUGAGUGGAACUGCGAGUGUAGAGGUGAAAUUCGUAGAUAUUCGCAAGAACACCAGUGGCGAAGGCGGCUCACUGGCCCGAUACUGACGCUGAGGCACGAAAGCGUGGGGAGCAAACAGGAUUAGAUACCCGUGUAGUCCCUGUCUCUUAUAC